GGAAGAAGGAGAAGAAGAAGGAAAGAAAGAGUGAGCUCACAUAGAAAGCUUAACCUCUAUUAAAUCUUAGAGGCAGAUUAGAAAUAAUUAUAAAAUUCGAUACGCACAAAUGGGAAUGCAUAGGUUUAAGGAGUGAGUGGAUUAAUUGCACAUGACUCCAAACGUGGGCUAAGGAGGUAGACAAGAUGCCUCUUCCUGAGUGUGUGACUUUAAGGAAGCUUCUUAAGACCUCCAACUUCAGUAUCCCUGAGGGGAAAUCUUUAAAUGGAGAUAGUGGCACCUACCUCCCAGGGUACUGUGAACAUUAAGUAACUAUUGCCUAGCAAGCCUUUGGUAGAAUGUGUGGCACGUAGUACAUGCUCAGUAAAAAGUGAUUGACGUUGCUGUUCCAUGAACUAGACAGGCUUUAAAGUCAAGUUCCAAAAAUAUCUGAGUGGUAUCCACAUCUUCAAAAUGAGCAGCCAGCCUCUCAGCAUGGAACCCUUUGAAGGAGCCACACUGGCAGGUAGGAACAGCCAUGCUGAAGGGCUCAGGGAGCAGGAACCGGGCCACCUGCACAGGGAGGGUUUCCUUCCACUUCAGAGCAGGUAAAUGGUUUCACUUCCCAUCCAGCUCAGGUAGAUUGAUGAUGGCUACCAGGAUUUCAGCCCCAACAAGGAUGACAAGGCAAGGGUCCUUCAGGAUGGAGUAGCCAUGCCUUUCAUGGGGACAGGAGAAAGGUGGGUUGACUUAAUAGGCUACAGAUCCAGAAGUUAAAUUUGUGCCAUUGUUCGGCAUAAUCAUAGUAUUAUUUAGUGAGAGUUCACCAUGUCUGAGCAGUAAUUGUCAGGGUGCUUUACAUUUAUGUAUCAUCUUAUUUGAUCUUACAUCAAUCCUGUGAAGAGGGUACAUUAUAAUCCCCGUUUUUCACAUGGGUCUUACGGACUAAGUCAACUGCUUGAGGUCACUUGUAGCAGAUUCAGCCACUGCCCAAGUGUUGUGAACAACAACUCCCAUGUGCCUGGCUUCUGUCACUUUUGAGAACAGCUGCCUCUGACUACCAGGGUCUACUUUGCCUACCCACAAGAGUCUGGGGUCCUUGGGAAUUUAGGUGUGCCAGGUAAGCCCUGAACCUUAGACUGUUGGGUGCAGGGCUAUAAAUGUUUCUAGCUCCCUUGCCUUUGACAGGCACACUCAGGUGUGGUCUCCACUGACCCCAGAGCUCCACCAGAAUUGAGCCAAGUGGGAGCCUUUCCUCCUCCUUCUAUGGGACUGUGUUCGAUGCUGCCCCUUUGCACCCUGCCUGGCCUCCUUCCCUUCCUGGCCCCACUCUCCUGUCCCCCUAUUGUAUUUUCCUAGGAGUAUUCUGCAAUGAAACACUUUCGUGCAAAGGUUUAUCUAGUGGUCUGCUUCUGGGAAAACAGACCUGCGAGGUCACUUGGUUGUAAGUGCCAGAGCCUGAGUUCAACUCAGGUUCACGGUGUAAACUGCCUCAAAGAGAACCACCCCACCAGAACCAGUAAUAAUAAAUGUGCAAAGACGGAAGACCUAAAUAGAAUUCUCACCAAUGCUCGGGGGCCGAGUCCCAAGCAAGGCCUGGCUGUGAAAGCUGUGCCUGCCGACCACCUGAGACUUGAAUAUCCUGCGUGGAAGCCCUACAGACUCUGGUGUGCCCUCUGCCACAUCCCAGCAUAAUCCUGGUGGAGAAAGUCAUUGGAAUUUUGGAAGCUAGGAAGGCUUUCCUUAGCCUGGUAAUUAUUUUUUCUUCCAAACCUCUAUGCAAAGAAUGUAAGUUAACUGAUUAGGCUAAGGCUCUGUGCAUCCUGUUGUUCUCUUUUCUGCAGUCAUUUGGGUCUUUGUGUAUCUUUGAUGUGUGUGAAUUAACAUAUUCUGCAGCUCCUCCCACUCACCGAGAGAAGGGGAAAAGAUACCAGCCACAGCCCUUGCAGCUGAAACAAAAAACCUGAGCCUGGGUGGAGGCCAGAGGGAGGAGGAGGGCUUUUCUCCCUAUCUCACCAUUUGGGAGAAUUUUCCCUAGAACAGGAAAAAUAAAAUAGUGUUCUUGUUCAUGAAUAUUGCAGGUAGAAAAGAACACACUCUAGGGUAUGCCUGAAACUCCACUCACCUUGUCUCCCUGGAAAUGCUGAAGUCCAUGAGUCCCAGGAAGGACCUUCACUCAACACUUCCCUAGCCUCCAACUCUCUUCCAACCCAGCCUCACCCCUGCACAGGGAGGUUUUCCUUCUACUUCAAACCAUCUUUAUAUCAAGGGAUGGUUUCAUCUCUCAUCCAGCUCAGAUACGGAGCCCAUGGACACAGAUGGCUAACUGUAUUUUGUUUGCUGUUCCCACUCAAGAGAAUGGAGCAGAAAGAUGAACACAGCUGGGACAAUGACAGCAGCAUUGCAGAGCUCACGUCAGCCCUGUACUACCUCCUGAGACCUCUCGUUAUGGGAGAAGACAAAUUCCUUUGUGCUUGCACUACCCUAGCAGGAAUGUGUCACACACAGCUAAAUGCAAUCCCAACUAGGACACUUGGAAUAUGGCAACUCACAGCUGGGGGCUAACCCAUCAAUGUGUCUUGUUUGGGCAGCACAGUGUUUUAAGUAAUUAUACUUCAGACAUGGGAAACUUCA
Molecule: long non-coding RNA, 2613 nt
Filed under: Homo sapiens (human)
Lineage: Eukaryota; Metazoa; Chordata; Mammalia; Primates; Hominidae
Description: HSALNT0311508
Source: RNAcentral